GGGCCCGUGGCCUAGCCAGGAUAGGGCGCCGGCCUGCGGAGCCGGAGAUCCCGGGUUCAAAUCCCGGCGGGCCCG
This 75-nucleotide transfer RNA is filed under the name Desulfurococcaceae archaeon. RNAcentral describes it as "tRNA-Arg". It matches the Rfam family "tRNA". From Rfam's summary of the family: Transfer RNA (tRNA) molecules are approximately 80 nucleotides in length. Their secondary structure includes four short double-helical elements and three loops (D, anti-codon, and T loops). The record is from RNAcentral. Lineage: Archaea; Thermoproteati; Thermoproteota; Thermoprotei; Desulfurococcales; Desulfurococcaceae.